GAGCUGUGCCCCACGCUCCCGCUGCAACAGUCCCGGGCAUCGCAGCUGCCAGUCAAGGCUAGGAGGCGGUCGGGGACUCCGCCUCCUCCCGACCCGUAGGUCUGGGAGCGCAAGUCCUGUUGCAGUCUUGCAAAGUGUAAAGCUGUCAGCCGCAGAGCACGGAGGAAAGACGGAGAGAAUGGAAGAGCUCCUGUCCGGUGUGCCAGCAGCCCGGACUGGCGGUGAGCGCGAGGGAGGCUACUGAGAAGCCCGGCGACGGAGGAACGCAGGUCUGCUGCCAGGGAUUGAGGAGACUGAAGAAUGCUGAAGACAGGCUGAUGGGCUCAGCUGGUAGGCUCCACUAUCUCGCCAUGACUGCUGAAAAUCCCACUCCUGGAGACCUGGCUCCGGCCCCCCUCAUCACUUGCAAACUCUGCCUGUGUGAGCAGUCUCUGGACAAGAUGACCACACUCCAGGAAUGCCAGUGCAUCUUUUGCACAGCUGUGAGAACACCUUAUAUGAAGAAUGCCUGUGACUUUGGUACAUCGGAAUCUGAUACCCUUGAAAGGGGUCUAGGAGACACCUGUUUCUGAGUAGAUUCCAUUGCAUACAAUUCAUAGACUCUCAGAGUUGGAAGAGACAAUAUGAGUCGUCUGGUUCACCAGGUGUUUGGUUACAUUUUUGGUUAGAUCCCAUAUGAAUCCUUAAAGGUUGUGGAGUGAGUUUGACGAACAAUCCUUAUUAUUUUGCAUGACCCUUCAUGGCCUAAAAAUAAUUCUGUGUUUUACCAAACUAAGUAAAAUGUUGACUAUACAAAAGAAAAAGGUUUUUUUCCCUUGGGUCAUUUGGGUUUUGAGAUGUUCUAUUUGAAACAUUUUCCUUACAAUUUGUUACCUGUUAAGAAAAUUGCUUAUUUAAAUAUCUGUUGAAUGCUACUUAAUAAAUGUAACUUUCAAAAUGUGA
This 942-nucleotide long non-coding RNA is filed under the name Homo sapiens (human). RNAcentral's name for it is "HSALNT0102109". The record is from RNAcentral. Lineage: Eukaryota; Metazoa; Chordata; Mammalia; Primates; Hominidae.